ACGCUCGACACCUACGGGAGGCAGCAGUGGGGGAUAUUGCACAAUGGAGGAAACUCUGAUGCAGCGACGCCGCGUGAGGGAAGACGGUUUUCGGAUUGUAAACCUCUGUCUUCAGGGACGAAAUGAAUGACGGUACCUGAGGAGGAAGCUCCGGCUAACUACGUGCUAGCAGCCGCGGUAAUCUGAGCGGGCUGGCAAGGC
This 201-nucleotide ribosomal RNA is filed under the name uncultured bacterium. RNAcentral describes it as "partial 16S ribosomal RNA". It matches the Rfam family "Bacterial small subunit ribosomal RNA", at positions 328 to 539 of the family's 1533-position model. The record is from RNAcentral.